ACUCCUACGGGAGGCAGCAGUGGGGAAUAUUGCACAAUGGGCGCAAGCCUGAUGCAGCCAUGCCGCGUGUAUGAAGAAGGCCUUCGGGUUGUAAAGUACUUUCAGCAGUGAGGAAGGGUGAGUUCAUUAANGCGGCCUCAUUUUGACGUUAGCUGCAGAAGAAGCACCGGCUAACUCCGUGCCAGCAGCCGCGGUAAUACGGAGGGUGCGAGCGUUAAUCGGAAUUACUGGGCGUAAAGCGCAUGCAGGUGGUUUGUUAAGUCAGAUGUGAAAGCCCGGGGCUCAACCUCGGAAUAGCAUUUUGAAACUGGCAGACUAGAGUACUNUAGAGGGGGGUAGAAUUUCAGGUGUAGCGGUGAAAUGCGUAGAGAUCUGAAGGAAUACCGGUGGCGAAGGCGGCCCCCUGGACAGAUACUGACACUCAGAUGCGAAAGCGUGGGGAGCAAACAGGAUUAGAUACCCUGGUAGCUACG
RNAcentral lists this ribosomal RNA (473 nucleotides) under uncultured bacterium. Its description in RNAcentral is "bacterial SSU rRNA". It matches the Rfam family "Bacterial small subunit ribosomal RNA", at positions 335 to 799 of the family's 1533-position model. The record is from RNAcentral.